Molecule: ribosomal RNA, 492 nt
Filed under: uncultured bacterium
Lineage: Bacteria
Description: partial 16S ribosomal RNA
Rfam family: Bacterial small subunit ribosomal RNA
Source: RNAcentral
AGUGGACGCUGGCGGUAGGCCUAACACAUGCAAGUCGAACGGCAGCACAGUAAGAGCUUGCUCUUACGGGUGGCGAGUGGCGGAUGGGUGAGGAAUACAUCGGAAUCUACUUUUUCGUGGGGGAUAACGUAGGGAAACUUACGCUAAUACCGCAUACGACCUACGGGUGAAAGCAGGGGAUCUUCGGACCUUGCGCGAUUGAAUGAGCCGAUGUCGGAUUAGCUAGUUGGCGGGGUAAAGGCCCACCAAGGCGACGAUCCGUAGCUGGUCUGAGAGGAUGAUCAGCCGCACUGGAACUGAGACACGGUCCAGACUCCUACGGGAGGCAGCAGUGGGGAAUAUUGGACAAUGGGCGCAAGCCUGAUCCAGCCAUACCGCGUGGGUGAAGAAGGCCUUCGGGUUGUAAAGCCCUUUUGUUGGGAAAGAAAAGCAGCAGGUUAAUACCCCGCUGUUCUGACGUUACCCAAAGAAUAAGCACCGGCUAACUUCGUG